Molecule: transfer RNA, 71 nt
Filed under: Marmota monax (woodchuck)
Lineage: Eukaryota; Metazoa; Chordata; Mammalia; Rodentia; Sciuridae
Description: tRNA.Thr
Rfam family: tRNA
About the family: Transfer RNA (tRNA) molecules are approximately 80 nucleotides in length. Their secondary structure includes four short double-helical elements and three loops (D, anti-codon, and T loops).
Source: RNAcentral
GAGGUUGUGGCUCAGUGGUAGAGCACUCACCCAGUAUGUGUGAGGCCCUGGGUUUAAUCCUCAGCACCACA